This 451-nucleotide ribosomal RNA is filed under the name uncultured bacterium. Its description in RNAcentral is "bacterial SSU rRNA". It matches the Rfam family "Bacterial small subunit ribosomal RNA", at positions 354 to 796 of the family's 1533-position model. The record is from RNAcentral.
GUGGGGAAUUGUUCGCAAUGGGCGAAAGCCUGACGACGCAACGCCGCGUGGAGGAUGAAGAAUUUCGGUUCGUAAACUCCUUUCGACCGAGAUGAACACCCAUGGAUUUAAUACGUCCGUGGGCUGACAGUAUCGAGAGAAGAAGCCCCGGCUAACUCUGUGCCAGCAGCCGCGGUAAUACAGGGGGGGCAAGCGUUGUUCGGAAUUACUGGGCGUAAAGGGUUCGUAGGUGGCCAACUAAGUCAGAUGUGAAAUCCCUCAGCUUAACUGGGGAACUGCUUCUGAAACUGGUUGGCUUGAGUGCAGGAGAGGAAUGCGGAAUUCCAGGUGUAGCGGUGAAAUGCGUAGAUAUCUGGAGGAACACCGGUGGCGAAGGCGGCAUUCUGGACUGUAACUGACACUGAGGAACGAAAGCCAGGGGAGCAAACGGGAUUAGAUACCCCAGUAGUCC